GAUGAACGCUGGCGGCGUGCUUAACACAUGCAAGUCGAACGGGAAUUAUUUUAUUGAAACUUCGGUCGAUUUAAUUUAAUUCUAGUGGCGGACGGGUGAGUAACGCGUGGGUACCCUGCCUUAUACAGGGGGAUAACAGUCAGAAAUGGCUGCUAAUACCGCAUAAGCGCACAGAGCUGCAUGGCUCAGUGUGAAAAACUCCGGUGGUAUAAGAUGGACCCGCGUUGGAUUAGCUGGUUGGUGGGGUAACGGCCCACCAAGGCGACGAUCCAUAGCCGGCCUGAGAGGGUGAACGGCCACAUUGGGACUGAGACACGGCCCAGACUCCUACGGGAGGCAGCAGUGGGGAAUAUUGCACAAUGGGGGAAACCCUGAUGCAGCGACGCCGCGUGAAGGAAGAAGUAUCUCGGUAUGUAAACUUCUAUCAGCAGGGAAGAUAGUGACGGUACCUGACUAAGAAGCCCCGGCUAACUACGUG
RNAcentral lists this ribosomal RNA (478 nucleotides) under uncultured bacterium. RNAcentral describes it as "partial 16S ribosomal RNA". It matches the Rfam family "Bacterial small subunit ribosomal RNA", at positions 28 to 507 of the family's 1533-position model. The record is from RNAcentral.